CCUACGGGAGGCUGCAGUCGAGGAUCUUCGGCAAUGGGCGCAAGCCUGACCGAGCGACGCCGCGUGGGCGAUGAAGGCCUUCGGGUUGUAAAGCCCUGUCGAGGGGGAGGAAGGCGCAAGCUUGACCGAUCCCUGGAGGAAGCACGGGCUAAGUUCGUGCCAGCAGCCGCGGUAAGACGAACCGUGCGAACGUUGUUCGGAAUCACUGGGCUUAAAGGGCGCGUAGGCGGCUUCGCAAGUCCGGGGUGAAAGCCCCCCGCUCAACGGGGGAAGGGCCUUGGAAACUGCGGGGCUGGAGGGAGGUAGGGGCAUGUGGAACUUCUGGUGGAGCGGUGAAAUGCGUUGAUAUCAGAAGGAACGCCGGUGGCGAAAGCGACGUGCUGGACCUCUACUGACGCUGAGGCGCGAAAGCCAGGGGAGCAAACGGGAUUAGAUACCCU
Molecule: ribosomal RNA, 440 nt
Filed under: uncultured bacterium
Lineage: Bacteria
Description: bacterial SSU rRNA
Rfam family: Bacterial small subunit ribosomal RNA
Source: RNAcentral